AGAAGGGCUGCGAACCCGCGAGGGGGAGCGAAUCCCAAAAAGCCGCUCUCAGUUCGGAUUGCAGGCUGCAACUCGCCUGCAUGAAGCCGGAAUCGCUAGUAAUCGCGGAUCAGCAUGCCGCGGUGAAUACGUUCCCGGGCCUU
RNAcentral lists this ribosomal RNA (143 nucleotides) under uncultured Geobacillus sp. RNAcentral's name for it is "partial 16S ribosomal RNA". It matches the Rfam family "Bacterial small subunit ribosomal RNA", at positions 1240 to 1382 of the family's 1533-position model. The record is from RNAcentral. Lineage: Bacteria; Bacillati; Bacillota; Bacilli; Caryophanales; Anoxybacillaceae.